This 440-nucleotide ribosomal RNA is filed under the name uncultured bacterium. RNAcentral describes it as "partial 16S ribosomal RNA". It matches the Rfam family "Bacterial small subunit ribosomal RNA", at positions 338 to 795 of the family's 1533-position model. The record is from RNAcentral.
CCUACGGGAGGCUGCAGUAGGGAAUAUUGCUCAAUGGGGGAAACCCUGAAGCAGCAACGCCGCGUGGAGGAUGAAGGUUUUCGGAUUGUAAACUCCUUUUGUUAGAGAAGAUAAUGACGGUAUCUAACGAAUAAGCACAGGCUAACUCCGUGCCAGCAGCCGCGGUAAUACGGAGGGUGCAAGCGUUACUCGAAAUCACUGGGCGUAAAGAGCGUGUAGGCGGGUUAGCAAGUCAGAUGUGAAAUCCUAUGGCUUAACCAUAGAACGGCAUUUAAAACUGUUGUUCUAGAGAAUGGGAGAGGUAGGUGGAAUGCUUGGUGUAGGGGUAAAAUCCGUAGAGAUCAAAAGGAAUACUCAUUGCGAAGGCGACCUGCUAGAACAUAACGGACGCUGAGGCACGAAAGCGUGGGGAGCAAACAGGAUUAGAUACCCCAGUAGUC